Molecule: ribosomal RNA, 620 nt
Filed under: uncultured bacterium
Lineage: Bacteria
Description: bacterial SSU rRNA
Rfam family: Bacterial small subunit ribosomal RNA
Source: RNAcentral
GGAAGAAACGGUUCGGGCUAAUAUCCUGGGCUAAUGACGGUACCUGAAGAAUAAGCACCGGCUAACUACGUGCCAGCAGCCGCGGUAAUACGUAGGGUGCGAGCGUUAAUCGGAAUUACUGGGCGUAAAGCGUGCGCAGGCGGUUGUGCAAGACAGAUGUGAAAUCCCCGGGCUCAACCUGGGAAUUGCAUUUGUGACUGCACGGCUAGAGUGUGUCAGAGGGGGGUAGAAUUCCACGUGUAGCAGUGAAAUGCGUAGAGAUGUGGAGGAAUACCGAUGGCGAAGGCAGCCCCCUGGGAUAACACUGACGCUCAUGCACGAAAGCGUGGGGAGCAAACAGGAUUAGAUACCCUGGUAGUCCACGCCCUAAACGAUGUCAACUAGUUGUCGGGUCUUAAUUGACUUGGUAACGCAGCUAACGCGUGAAGUUGACCGCCUGGGGAGUACGGUCGCAAGAUUAAAACUCAAAGGAAUUGACGGGGACCCGCACAAGCGGUGGAUGAUGUGGAUUAAUUCGAUGCAACGCGAAAAACCUUACCUACCCUUGACAUGGCAGGAACCUCCGAGAGAUUGGAGGGUGCCCGAAAGGGAACCUGCACACAGGUGCUGCAUGGCUGUCG